AACCAUAGAAACCUGCGGAGUACCUGCGGAGGGAUCAUUACAGAGUUGCAAAACUCCCUAAACCAUUGUGAACGUUACCUAAACCGUUGCUUCGGCGGGCGGCCCGGGUCCUUCCCGGCGCCCCUCGGCCCUCGCGGGCGCCCGCCGGAGGUAAACCAAACUAUUGCAUUGUAUGGCCUCUCUGAGUCUUCUGUACUGAAUAAGUCAAAACUUUCACAAUGGAUCUCAGAUCGGAAGAGC
RNAcentral lists this unclassified non-coding RNA (240 nucleotides) under soil metagenome. RNAcentral describes it as "partial contains 5.8S ribosomal RNA, internal transcribed spacer 2, and large subunit ribosomal RNA". The record is from RNAcentral.